CACGUAGGGGGCAAGCGUUGUCCGGAAUUAUUGGGCGUAAAGAGCUCGUAGGCGGCUUGUUGCGUCAGCUGUGAAAACCCACAGCUCAACUGUGGGCUUGCGGUCGAUACGGGCAGGCUAGAGUUCGGUAGGGGAGACUGGAAUUCCUGGUGUAGCGGUGAAAUGCGCAGAUAUCAGGAGGAACACCGGUGGCGAAGGCGGGUCUCUGGGCCGAUACUGACGCUGAGGAGCGAAAGCGUGGGGAGCGAACAGG
Molecule: ribosomal RNA, 253 nt
Filed under: uncultured bacterium
Lineage: Bacteria
Description: partial 16S ribosomal RNA
Rfam family: Bacterial small subunit ribosomal RNA
Source: RNAcentral